AAGUCGUAACAAGGUCUCCGUAGGUGAACCUGCGGAGGGAUCAUUACAUAAUAACCAGGCGGGCUGGACACCCCCCGCUGGGCACUGCUUCACGGCGUGCGCGGCGGGGCCGGCCCUGCUGAAUUAUUCACCCGUGUCUUUUGCGUACUUCUUGUUUCCUGGGUGGGCUCGCCCGCCCUCAGGACCAACCACAAACCUUUUGCAAUAGCAAUCAGCGUCAGUAACAACGUAAUUAAUUACAACUUUCAACAACGGAUCUCUUGGUUCUG
Molecule: unclassified non-coding RNA, 269 nt
Filed under: Alternaria infectoria
Lineage: Eukaryota; Fungi; Ascomycota; Dothideomycetes; Pleosporales; Pleosporaceae
Description: partial internal transcribed spacer region
Rfam family: Eukaryotic small subunit ribosomal RNA (bases 1-46)
Source: RNAcentral